CAGCAGCCGCGGUAAUACGAAGGGUGCAAGCGUUAAUCGGAAUUACUGGGCGUAAAGCGUGCGUAGGCGGUGAGUUAAGUCUGCUGUGAAAUCCCCGGGCUCAACCUGGGAAUGGCAGUGGAUACUGGCUCGCUAGAGUGUGUCAGAGGAUGGUGGAAUUCCCGGUGUAGCGGUGAAAUGCGUAGAGAUCGGGGGGAACAUCAGUGGCGAAGGCGGCCAUCUGGGACAAUACUGACGCUCAUGCACGAAAGCGUGGGGAGCAAACAGGAUUAGAUACCCCCGUAGUCCCUGUCUCUUAUAC
This 301-nucleotide ribosomal RNA is filed under the name uncultured bacterium. RNAcentral describes it as "partial 16S ribosomal RNA". It matches the Rfam family "Bacterial small subunit ribosomal RNA", at positions 509 to 807 of the family's 1533-position model. The record is from RNAcentral.